ACCACUUCUCGGCCUUUUGGCUAAGAUCAAGUGUAGAAAUGUGCAGACACAAGUAAAUAUUAUGUUUGAUGUAAGUAUGAGUCUCUUACUCCAUCCUCUGGAAUCUUGAAUUUUGUAAUCCAAAAUAAUUAUCUCUC
This 137-nucleotide small nuclear RNA is filed under the name Heterocephalus glaber (naked mole-rat). RNAcentral describes it as "U2 spliceosomal RNA". It matches the Rfam family "U2 spliceosomal RNA". From Rfam's summary of the family: U2 is a small nuclear RNA (snRNA) component of the spliceosome (involved in pre-mRNA splicing). Complementary binding between U2 snRNA (in an area lying towards the 5' end but 3' to hairpin I) and the branchpoint sequence (BPS) of the intron results the bulging out of an unpaired adenosine, on the BPS, which initiates a nucleophilic attack at the intronic 5' splice site, thus starting the first of two transesterification reactions that mediate splicing. The record is from Rfam by way of RNAcentral. Lineage: Eukaryota; Metazoa; Chordata; Mammalia; Rodentia; Bathyergidae.